Molecule: ribosomal RNA, 432 nt
Filed under: uncultured bacterium
Lineage: Bacteria
Description: partial 16S ribosomal RNA
Rfam family: Bacterial small subunit ribosomal RNA
Source: RNAcentral
CCUACGGGAGGCAGCAGUAGGGAAUCUUCCGCAAUGGACGCAAGUCUGACGGAGCAACGCCGCGUGAGUGAAGAAGGAUUUCGGUUCGUAAAACUCUGUUGUUAGAGAAGCGGUAUCUAACCAGAAAGCCACGGCUAACUACGUGCCAGCAGCCGCGGUAAUACGUAGGUGGCAAGCGUUGUCCGGAUUUAUUGGGCGUAAAGCGAGCGCAGGCGGUCAAUUAAGUCUGAUGUGAAAGCCCCCGGCUCAACCGGGGAGGGUCAUUGGAAACUGGUUGACUUGAGUGCAGAAGAGGAGAGUGGAAUUCCAUGUGUAGCGGUGAAAUGCGUAGAUAUAUGGAGGAACACCAGUGGCGAAGGCGACUCUCUGGUCUGUACUGACGCUGAGGCUCGAAAGCGUGGGUAGCAAACAGGAUUAGAUACCCUUGUAGUC